ACGAUGAAUCUUCUAGCUUGCUAGAAGUGGAUUAGUGGCGCACGGGUGAGUAAUGCAUAGGUUAUGUGCCCUUUAGUCUGGGAUAGCCACUGGAAACGGUGAUUAAUACUGGAUACUCCCUACGGGGGAAAGUUUUUCGCUAAAGGAUCAGCCUAUGUCCUAUCAGCUUGUUGGUGAGGUAAUGGCUCACCAAGGCUAUGACGGGUAUCCGGCCUGAGAGGGUGAUCGGACACACUGGAACUGAGACACGGUCCAGACUCCUACGGGAGGCAGCAGUAGGGAAUAUUGCUCAAUGGGGGAAACCCUGAAGCAGCAACGCCGCGUGGAGGAUGAAGGUUUUAGGAUUGUAAACUCCUUUUGUUAGAGAAGAUUAUGACGGUAUCUAACGAAUAAGCACCGGCUAACUCCGUGCCAGCAGCCGCGGUAAUACGGAGGGUGCAAGCGUUACUCGGAAUCACUGGGCGUAAAGAGUGCGUAGGCGGGGUAAUAAGUCAGAUGUGAAAUCCUGUAGCUUAACUACAGAACUGCAUUUGAAACUGUUACCCUGGAGUGUGGGAGAGGUAGGUGGAAUUCUUGGUGUAGGGGUAAAAUCCGUAGAGAUCAAGAGGAAUACUCAUUGCGAAGGCGACCUGCUGGAACAUUACUGACGCUGAUGCACGAAAGCGUGGGGAGCAAACAGGAUUAGAUACCCUGGUAGUCCACGCCCUAAACGAUGGAUGCUAGUUGUUGCCUUGCUUGUCAGGGCAGUAAUGCAGCUAACGCAUUAAGCAUCCCGCCUGGGGAGUACGGUCGCAAGAUUAAAACUCAAAGGAAUAGACGGGGACCCGCACAAGCGGUGGAGCAUGUGGUUUAAU
This 854-nucleotide ribosomal RNA is filed under the name uncultured bacterium. RNAcentral describes it as "bacterial SSU rRNA". It matches the Rfam family "Bacterial small subunit ribosomal RNA", at positions 66 to 950 of the family's 1533-position model. The record is from RNAcentral.